AGGGCACCACCAGGAGUGGAGCCUGCGGCUUAAUUUGACUCAACACGGGAAAACUUACCUGGUCCUGACACUAGAAGGAUUGACAGAUUGAUAGCUCUUUCUUGAUUUGGUGGAUGGUGGUGCAUGGCCGUUCUUAGUUGGUGGAGUGAUUUGUCUGGUUAAUUCCGAUAACGAACGAGACUCUAGCCUAUUAAAUAACACGCAGAAUCUUGUUUUCUGCGGUGUUUCUUAAUGGGAUCAAGUGUGUUUAACGCUUUGAAACAGAGCAAUAACAGGUCUGUGAUGCCCUUAGAUGUUCGGGGCUGCACGCGCGCUACAUUGAAAGACAAAAUGAGCCUUCUAGUUUUUAAUAAAGCUAGUAAUCUUUGAAUGUUUUUCUUAAUGGGGAUAGGGGAUUGCAAUUGUGCUCCUUGAACGAGGAAUUCCCAGUAAGUGCUAAUCAUUAGUUAGUACUGAUUACGUCCCUGCCCUUUGUACACACCGCCCGUCGCUACUACCGAUUGAAUGGUUUAGUGAGAU
Molecule: ribosomal RNA, 519 nt
Filed under: uncultured eukaryote
Lineage: Eukaryota
Description: SSU rRNA
Rfam family: Eukaryotic small subunit ribosomal RNA
Source: RNAcentral